GACGAACGCUGGCGGCGUGCCUAAUACAUGCCAGUAGAACGCUGAAGGAGGAGCUUGCUUCUCUGGAUGAGUUGCGAACGGGUGAGUAACGCGUAGGUAACCUGCCUGGUAGCGGGGGAUAACUAUUGGAAACGAUAGCUAAUACCGCAUAAUAUUGACUAUUGCAUGAUAGUCAGUUGAAAGGUGCAACUGCACCACUACCAGAUGGACCUGCGUUGUAUUAGCUAGUUGGUGGGGUAACGGCUCACCAAGGCGACGAUACAUAGCCGACCUGAGAGGGUGAUCGGCCACACUGGGACUGAGACACGGCCCAGACUCCUACGGGAGGCAGCAGUAGGGAAUCUUCGGCAAUGGACGGAAGUCUGACCGAGCAACGCCGCGUGAGUGAAGAAGGUUUUCGGAUCGUAAAGCUCUGUUGUAAGAGAAGAACGAGUGUGAGAGUGGAAAGCUCACACUGUGACGGUAUCUUACUAGAAAGGGACGGCUAACUACGUG
RNAcentral lists this ribosomal RNA (495 nucleotides) under uncultured bacterium. Its description in RNAcentral is "partial 16S ribosomal RNA". It matches the Rfam family "Bacterial small subunit ribosomal RNA", at positions 28 to 507 of the family's 1533-position model. The record is from RNAcentral.